Molecule: non-coding RNA, 114 nt
Organism: Acanthosepion pharaonis
Lineage: Eukaryota; Metazoa; Mollusca; Cephalopoda; Sepiida; Sepiidae
Source: the annotation of a GenBank genome assembly
UUACAGCCAUAUCACAUUGAAACACCGGUUCCGGCAAGAUCACAGAGGUUAAGCAACAUCGAGCCUGAUCAGUACCUAGAUGGGUUACUGCUUGGGGAUAACAUGUGCUGUAAG